Molecule: long non-coding RNA, 2606 nt
Organism: Cannabis sativa
Lineage: Eukaryota; Viridiplantae; Streptophyta; Magnoliopsida; Rosales; Cannabaceae
Exons: 8
Source: RefSeq, a predicted model, not a curated record
AGUAGUCAUAAAAAAUGAUAGCGCCCAUUCACACAAAACUACAUGUGUCUCUCUUUUUUCUUUUACUAGAAGAUGUGUAUCCUUCAUUUUCUACCCACUUCAUCUGCUAGAACUCUCCAGUAACAUUCGUGUAUCAUUUCACUUGCCAACCAAAAAAAUCAAGCUCGUAACUUGACUACAAAAAAAAAUAAAAUAAAAGGAGUUUGUUGUACAAGUGGGAGGCAAAAAGAAAAGCAAACAGGCUUUGUCAUGAUAACCAGUUUUUUGAAGGCUCAACAACAUCUUGUGCUUUGCUUGGGUUUGCUCUUCGUUCAUUGCAGGACUUGGUCACCUGAGGGUUUAAUGGCAACAAUUGAGAAAUUUAUCAAAGAUAUCCACCCUUCAGAAACAAAAUGGAGGGUGAAAGUGAUUGUUCUAGAGAAAGGAAUGCCGAAAACUGCUCGAAAUGUUGCAAAAAGAUAUCAAAACUUACUACUAUCUGAUUCGCAGGUUAGCUGGUAAAUAUAUUAUCUCAUUUUCUUGUUCAAUUCUUCUUCUCUUAAAUUGUUUUUCUGAAGAUAAUAGAUAGCUAUUUUGAAGUUAAUUUUGAACAUUUUUUACUACUAAUUUUCGUUCAUUUACGGUAUUCUUUAGAUGUCACUAUUCAUUCUUCAACUUAAUUAUUUUCUAACUUUUAUGAUACGCAAAAUGUCUGCUCAUUUGUUCUUCAUUUUGCUAAAUGAAAAUUUUCUUCACUCUUGUAUAGAAAACACAAAUACAGGCCACUAUAUAUGAUGAUGACAUCGAGAAGUUUCAAAAUACAUUGACUGUUCACGGAUGCUACUAUAUAUCAAACGCCUAUGUCAAAUUUAUAAAACUACAAUAUCAAGUACUAGGGAUACCAUAUGAAUGGGUAAUAAGUAGUAGAUCUACUUUAGUUGAAAUGUGCCAGAGGAAGAUAUCUCAAUGUCAACUUCAGUAGAAUACAAUUUCACUCCUUUUGUUAGCUUCUUAGAUCAUAUGGAUCAAUCAACUUCAGUUGACUUGAUGGCAGUUGCAAUUAUUGUGAAUCCUAAGAAGCAAAUAUACACCAGUAAUGGUUUACAAGAGCUAAUAGUUGUUAAUGAAGAUUAAGAUUACAAAACAAAAUUCAUGUACAUUUAGAUUACAUUUCUUCAUUUUUGUUAAUAAUUUAAAGCUAUUAUACUGGAAAAAACCAAUUGGCCUGACAUGCUGGGGACAUUUUGUUGUUAAUGAAUGUACUACAAUUAAAAAACUAAUAGCUACUACACCUAUCAUUGUUGCUAGAUGUAUGAAAGUCACAUCAUUUAAUGGUAGAUCAUUAUCUCAUUUUAUUCUUUGAUUUCCCAUUACUUUUUUUAAACGUUAUUGUUAUCUUCCAAAUUUACAUGUAUUAUCAUGCUAACCAUUUUAUAUUUUGUAUUUUAGAAAUCUCAUUAUCAACAAAGAUAGGCAGCUCUCUCAUGAUCAAUCCAAAUGUUGCUAAAGUUCAAACACUGAGGCGUUGGUGUACUAAAAAUGAAAUUUUUCUUGAAGACCUCAGAAUGAAUAGGAAAACAUGCUUAGAAUCCAUGUCCCAUCUAAUAAAACCUCAACUACAUCUUAUGACACCUAUAAAUGCCAUUAAACCAGUGGAGGGUAAGACAUAUUGGACCACAGCUUGAAUUACUAUCACAAAUCCAACACAAACACUUUGGUACAUGGUAUGUAGCGAGUGCAAAAGAUUUACAACUGGUGACUUCAAUCAAGCGUUCACUUGUAUAAAAUACACUGAAAAUGCAACAGCUGAACCACGGUUUGUCUUACUUUUAACGCAUUCUACAUUUUCUGUUUUCCAUAUUUUAUAAAUUAUUUAUAAUUUCUCCAUUUCACUAUAUUAUCAGAUCAAACAUGUUUUAUUUUAUAAAAAAUAACUUCAGUUCAAAUUCACACGUGACACAACAUUACAUAUAGUAUGUUACAUUGUAAUGUAUUAAGAACUAGAAUCACUGUACAACUUAUUGACUCAAGUGGUUCCUUGGAGGCAAUAAUGUUUGGUAAAAAGGCUGAAAUGUUCUUAUGUUGCUGCACCUCAGACCUUGUCAAAUUUACAACUCAGGAAACAAUUAAUCAGCUACAUAAAAUAAACCAUGCAGUAGGUAAAAAAAGAUACUUCUUUUACUUGAGAACUAUGAAACUAAUACUUGGUUUUCCAACAGAUAUAAAAUAUACCAUCAGUACUAUGCUGCCAAGUGAAAAAAUCGAGCAACUAAAUCAUCAAAAUGCAACCGAUCACCAAGUUUCUCCUACCUUAUAUGCAAACAAAAAGCUUAGAUAAAAUGUUCAAUCUAUUGAUGCUUCACUAUCUUCAUUGGAAAACCCCUCAAUCACAGUAAAUCUUGAUGAAGACAACAGAUUUCUAGAUGCGUCACCUUCUUCGCUAAAUAACUCUUCCCCAACUUCGAAUGACAUUUCAUCGGUUUCAUCCAGUGAAGUAACAAAGAAUUAAUUACUGCCUCUAAUAUUUCUUUUUGAAUGUGACUGUCAAUUUGAGUAACUGACAGCCUUAAAGUAGUAUCUGUAAAUUCUUUUGAUUGUCAAUAUCGAUAACUAACCGCCCUUAAAUA